This 1248-nucleotide long non-coding RNA is filed under the name Homo sapiens (human). RNAcentral's name for it is "long independently transcribed non-coding RNA 1572, transcript variant 4 (LINC01572)". The record is from RNAcentral. Lineage: Eukaryota; Metazoa; Chordata; Mammalia; Primates; Hominidae.
GUAUUUGAAUUUGUGGCGCUUGGUGUCCGCGAGUUGCCGAAUGAAGCUGAGCGUCUCAGUGGAACCAGGGAUCUCAGGGAGGGGAAGGUAUAAAAUUUUCAAAUGGAGGAGUAUACCUGAACCUAAUCAUGGAUGUGAUUUUAUGUAAGUAAUAUGUGAGCAAUCAUCAACAGAGAAGCUUUCUGCAACCAAAGUGAAGACUGAAGCCUUAGGCUAUGGCAGAAGUUGGGCGCCUGAAGUACACGUGGAAAUAUGCCAACUGAACAUUGGACUACCACGUCAAGGGUCUCCUACCCCUGGGCCAUGGAUCAAUACCAGUCUGUGACCUGUUAGGAACCGGUAGCAGGAGCGCCUGCCCCUGGCUCAGCGCCCGGUGCCAACAGAACACCUUUCAGGAUCCACAGCAACGCAGACAACGAGUCCAGAAUCCCGGCCUCUGCUUGGAACGGAACAGUGUCAUGGCGGAGACGACGGCCUUUGUCUUGCUGGGUGUGAAAACAUCCGCUGUGCUGGCUCCACUGCGGCAGAAUCAAGUUUAAAGGAAAAAAACACGCAGCAAGUGAAGCGACAAGAGGAAUCCAUUAUGCAAAUCAUGUCACUUUGCAUAACGUCUCAUGACUAGAAUAUGCAAAUGAACUGUAUAAUUUAUGAGUGCCAGUGUCUGUCUAAGAGUGUUUCACAUAAUUUACAAAGUGAGCCUGAGAGGCAUGAGGAAGGCAGCUCUUCCGAUUCCAUUGCCAGGAAAGCGCUAUAUAUUUUUCUGUAAGUGAUCCCUCAUAAUAUCAUCAAGUGCUAUUUAAAAGAAAUGAAGAUUUCAAAUGUACAUGAAAGGCAAAGAUUUUCCUCUCACUUCCUUCACCCAUUGAUUUUUUUUCCUAAAAUUUGCAAGAAACUUGGACUCUAAAGCCUUAAAUUUUGGAUUUAAUUUGGAAAAGAAAAGUUAUUUGAGCCAAACUUGCUCUUUGUAUGAGGGUUUUCUUUUUUUAAGCAAGGAAUGUCUUAGAGAAGCAGACACCUUAUCUAUUAAUAUUUGCCUGGACCUAUAGAAGGCAGAAGAAUGGGAUUUCUCAUUUUGGUUGGUUUUAUGUUUGCCCUGUAACAUUUUAUAAAUAAUAGUCUCAUGGAUGUAUUAAAUAUUGAUAUGGAAUACUCAUACAAUCAAUAUUCUUCUGAAGUUAUAAUUCUACUUUCAGAAUAGUCUUCACAGGAGAAAUUAUAUCCAGUAAAAAUCAGAUUCUAGUUAAGUGA